This 73-nucleotide transfer RNA is filed under the name Vicugna pacos (alpaca). RNAcentral describes it as "tRNA-Ala (AGC) (tRNA-Ala-AGC-730-1)". It matches the Rfam family "tRNA". Rfam says of the family: Transfer RNA (tRNA) molecules are approximately 80 nucleotides in length. Their secondary structure includes four short double-helical elements and three loops (D, anti-codon, and T loops). Further hydrogen bonds mediate the characteristic L-shaped molecular structure. tRNAs have two regions of fundamental functional importance: the anti-codon, which is responsible for specific mRNA codon recognition, and the 3' end, to which the tRNAs corresponding amino acid is attached (by aminoacyl-tRNA synthetases). tRNAs cope with the degeneracy of the genetic code in two manners: having more than one tRNA (with a specific anti-codon) for a particular amino acid; and 'wobble' base-pairing, i.e. permitting non-standard base-pairing at the 3rd anti-codon position. Lineage: Eukaryota; Metazoa; Chordata; Mammalia; Artiodactyla; Camelidae. The record is from RNAcentral.
GGAGGGUAUAGCUCAGUGGUAGAGUACAUGCUUAGCAUGCACGAGGUCCUGGGUUCAAUCCCCAGUGCCUCCA